This is a long non-coding RNA of Oncorhynchus tshawytscha (Chinook salmon), 2233 nucleotides long. The record is from Ensembl. Lineage: Eukaryota; Metazoa; Chordata; Actinopteri; Salmoniformes; Salmonidae.
GGAAAGGGUGUGGGAGAGAGAGAGAGGAUAAUUUGGCUGAGCGUCGAUGAAAGGAGGAAGCUGUUUUAUCAUUCCUCUGACGGGCAGCCCAGCACAAGUAACUUAGCGUGGGAGUCAAGCACACCGGGAGGAGAGUGGGCUGUAAUCGUGGCUCUGGGACAAAGCAGCACUGUCUGCUCUCUCUCUCCUACCUCUCCCCUCUCUCGUCUCUCCAUCUCGCCAUUCCCUGCCUCCCACACUACCCUCUGUCUCUCCUCUCUCUCUAUGUCCUCCUCCCUCCUCCCCUCCCUCUCUCCCCCUGCUCCCUCUCUUCCCACACUACCCUCUGUUUCCCCUCUCUCUCUCUGUCCUCCUCUCUCCCCCUCUUCCCACUCCCACCCGGUAGGGCCCGCCAGGCUGCCAUUGUUCAGGAUAUCCCCUCGUUGUUAAUAGCUUCCUGUACACUCAGAGAGGCCACAGAGAGAGACCCAGAGGCUGUGGUUGAUGCUGGGCGUUGACUGUCACAGCACAGCAGAGAACACCACAGGGACAGAGCCAGAGAUAGAGACAGGAACAGGGAUUAUUCCCACUGGGCACACCACAUCAUUUCUACGUGGAAAAUUGGGUAAUAUUUGGUUGAGACGUUGAUCAAUGAGAUUACAACCUAUAGUCACAUACUCAAAAACACAGCCCAAAGUUAGUUGAAUUGACAAUGUGUUAUCACUAUGCUUUUAAGCAUCUAAAAGCACAACCAAAUUCCAAUGGAAAAACAAUGUAGGAUUUUUGGUAUAGUCGUCACCCAAAUGUCUAUCACUGCGCUUUAAACCAUUAAAAAGCACAGCAAAAGUUCAAAUUGGAAUAAAAUGUCAGGUAUUUUGUUUAUUUAUACAACUGAUUAAUCUGUUAUCACUGUGAUUCCUCUAAUAAGAGAGACAAAUAUCAACAUUUAAAGGAGAUGUAUGUACUGCUUGCAUAGUUCCAUCUGAGCCACUUACUUAAUCCCAUUCUUUAACUUUGAUUUUUGGUUGAGUUGGAGACGUGAACCCAACCUAUCAUUUGUUAACUUGUAAGUUAUCAGGAUAUUUACUGUAUUUCAAAAGUUAUAUUUAAUUGUGUUUGGUUGGUAACGCAACCAAAAACCAACAUUUGAAGGGGAUUUAUCUUCUGCUUGGAUAGUUCCAUCUGUGCCACUGACUUAGUCUGGGUUUAAUUCCAGUUUGUCUAACAAAUGAAUCAUUUAUAUGUUGGAUUAAAGUCUCCAUCUCAACCAAAAAUCUAACUAAAAGAUUAGGACUGAAUCAAAUCAAACUUUAAAUGCUCUUUAAAUAAAGUUUAAUUUGAUUUACUCCUAUUGUUUAACUUACAUUUUUGGUUGAGAUGGAGGUGUGAAUUCAACAUAUCAGUUAUUAAAUUGUAGACCAAAUGGAAUUAAAGGCAAACUAAGUCAGUGGCACAAAUGGAGCUAUCCAAGCAGAAUGUAAAUUAUAUUUUGGUCGUCAACUAAAGAUAAUUCAAUAUUACUUUUGUAAUAAAGUAAAUAGCCUGAAGUUAAGUUACAUUAAAGUUAAUGUAACAUUCAACCUUUAAAUGAGUAACACGGCCACAUUCUGAGGUUAUUGUAACUAUAUAUUGUCUUGUGUAAUCAUAUAAAGUCAGCAUGUUCACAAUAAUCUGUGCAGAAUCUCGAACAGCACUGAUCACUUGCACCAUGACAUUUUAAUGUCUACUCAAAAUUGGAAUGUAAUAUAUAGUCUAUAUACUGUAUCUCUGAGCAAAGAUACAGGGUCACUGCAGUGUGUUUGAGGGAUUGUUACCAUAUGUUGAAGAUUAUAUAUUAUUCAUUAAUUAAUUCACAAUCAAAAUGUUUUAAUGGAGAAGAGUGUCGUGCCUCCACCACUUUUUAUGGGUCAUUUAAUAUCAUAGAAUGUAAAAAGUGAACAGCCCGCUAUACAAGCAUUUAGCUAGGUAUUACUGUUGGAGCUAGAAACACAAGCAUUUAGCUAGGUAUUACUGUUGGAGCUAGAAACACAAGCAUUUAGCUAGGUAUUACUGUUGGAGCUAGAAACACAAGCAUUUAGCUAGGUAUUACAGUACUGUUGGAGCUAGAAACACAAGCAUUUAGCUAGGUAUUACAGUACUGUUGGAGCUCGAAACACAAGAAUUUAUCUAGGUAUUACUGUUGGAGCUAGAAACACAAGCAUUUGGCUAGGUAUUACAGUACUAUUGGAGCUAGAAACACAAGCAUUUAGCUAGG